UGGGAAGAAGAAGGAGCUCUACAGGGU
Molecule: non-coding RNA, 27 nt
Filed under: Homo sapiens (human)
Lineage: Eukaryota; Metazoa; Chordata; Mammalia; Primates; Hominidae
Source: RNAcentral